GACGAACGCUGGCGGCGUGCCUAAUACAUGCAAGUGGGACGCAAGAGAACACACUGUGCUUGCACACCGUGUUUUCUUGAGUCGCGAACGGGUGAGUAACGCGUAGGUAACCUGCCUAUUAGCGGGGGAUAACUAUUGGAAACGAUAGCUAAUACCGCAUAAUAUUAAUUAUUGCAUGAUAAUUGAUUGAAAGAUGCAAGCGCAUCACUAGUAGAUGGACCUGCGUUGUAUUAGCUAGUUGGUAAGGUAAGAGCUUACCAAGGCGACGAUACAUAGCCGACCUGAGAGGGUGAUCGGCCACACUGGGACUGAGACACGGCCCAGACUCCUACGGGAGGCAGCAGUAGGGAAUCUUCGGCAAUGGACGAAAGUCUGACCGAGCAACGCCGCGUGAGUGAAGAAGGUUUUCGGAUCGUAAAGCUCUGUUGUAAGUCAAGAACGUGUGUGAGAGUGGAAAGUUCACACAAGAGACG
RNAcentral lists this ribosomal RNA (473 nucleotides) under Streptococcus mutans. RNAcentral describes it as "bacterial SSU rRNA". It matches the Rfam family "Bacterial small subunit ribosomal RNA", at positions 28 to 474 of the family's 1533-position model. The record is from RNAcentral. Lineage: Bacteria; Bacillati; Bacillota; Bacilli; Lactobacillales; Streptococcaceae.